Zophobas morio is the source of this 812-nucleotide long non-coding RNA. RefSeq lists it as uncharacterized. NCBI's taxonomy places the organism in Eukaryota, Metazoa, Arthropoda, Insecta, Coleoptera, Tenebrionidae. The transcript is spliced from 3 exons. The record is from RefSeq and is a predicted model, not a curated record.
AAUAUAAGAAGACAGAGUUGUGUAAUUUGGCGCAGUUUGCGCUGGGUAGCAAAAUAUUUGCAGCGUUAUUGGGUCUAGGUUUGGCGAAGACGAUUUAAAUUUCCCGUUAUCAAAACCGAUGCUGAGUUUUCGACGAAAUGGAGCUUAGCGAGUGAAGGUCAAGAUGAAAAUUCGUUUUCUGUUGUCACGGAUUGAGAGGAAAGUUGUAGCGUUAUCGAAUUCCGGGGAUUUUUUAUGUGAGGUUUUGACAUGAUGCACGUUUUUAGUAGGAAUUUUAGAAACGUGCGAAACCUACUGAGAAAUUUCGAUCGUCAACAAAAACAUCAAGGUGAAUGGAGAAGAUGAGGUCGAGUGGUACAAAACAAAUGACUACCUUGGAUGCAACACUUUUCAGUGGUCACAAAUCUGUGUGAAACUGUAUUGUUGUUCUUAAAUAUAUGAAUUACAUAAGCGCUAUUUACAUUGUGUGACAGAAAAAGGACGCGAGGAACUGGGGACAGGGAAACAAUGGACCAUAAAAAUAAAAGUAAAUUGGAGUAAGACUACGCUACAAAUCUUGUUAUUUACACGGAGAAUUCUUUAGCUUGCUUGGGAUUGUAUUUGUAUGGGUAAUUGGUUACAAAUGUUACUGUAUUAAAAUUUAUCAAAGAUUUAGGUGACGUGAUUCGCAGUUUUUUCCUUGCAUGUUUUGAGAUCGAGAUUUGCAUGUUUGCACUAAUUAGGUCUUGUUUUACCGAGACAGAACGUUUGCGAAUAAUUAUUCUAAUUCAAGACAUCCGCUCUGUUAUUACAUAGUUAAAAAAAAUUUUUGU